Molecule: long non-coding RNA, 864 nt
Filed under: Medicago truncatula (barrel medic)
Lineage: Eukaryota; Viridiplantae; Streptophyta; Magnoliopsida; Fabales; Fabaceae
Description: long non-coding RNA (MTRU_LNC006627)
Source: RNAcentral
CUUCUUCUCCGGUUGGAGAUGGGGCGGCCGGGAGAAUUCCGGCGCGGUGGCCGGCGAGCCAUCGCGGCUGCGCCGCCGCGCCGGAGCUAAAAAAGCUCCCUUUUUUUGAUUUUUUUUCGCUCUUUCUCUUCUACUUCCCUCCCUCCGUUCACUUCUAAACCUAGAUGUUCAAAAACAUACACACAGAGACCUAGAUCUAAAGGUAAAGAAAAUACUACCUCUUUUUGUUUUUUCGUGAAUCCGGUUUUGUUAUGGUGCUGGCUUGCGCUGCUGCGUGCUUGGGGUCGUGUCGCUUCUGUGUGUGUGUGUGUGUGUUGUGUUGCGCGCCGGUUCUGCCUUCUUCUUUGGAUCUUGUUGUUGUUGUUUAUCGCUUGCGAUUGCUCCUGCUUCUGUUGCUUUUCUGUGUUUCUCUGUAUGUGUUUGUUGUGCGAUGCCGUCCUCUGCUUUUUUUUGUGUUUCUUCGUGUGCUCUGCCGUGUUCUGUUGUGUUUUGUUUUGUGUUGUGCAGGUCUCUAUUUAUAGUGCUGGGCUGAGGCUAGGGUUUGUUGAGAAUGAGCAGAAAAUCAGUAGCUUGUGGAGGAGAAAAAGGGAAACGCGUCUGUUUUUACUGGAUUUGUUUCAGAUGAGGCGUGAACUGGAUUUGGAUUGGGAUGGAAAAGGAACAGAACGUGUAUAAGGAUUGAGAUGAGAGACUGUUUAUCUGAAUUUGGACUAUUUUGUUGGACUUAUCAUUGGACAAUUUUGGGACUUUAAUUAAAAAGAAAAAUUAAUAAUAAAAGGAUAAUGUCUAUAUUUUUGGUUUUUAAAAAAAGGAUAAAAAGGAAAAUUUAAAAUGGGAAUGAAAGAAAUUUAAUCUAAAUUGGAC